AGUCCAAAUCGCCUUUCUGUUCCCCACACCCCAUUUGUCUGGAAUCAAAAAACAAUGACAAUUUCGACAAGACAUUGUCUCUUACAUGGUCUUUAUUGGUUUAUUGGUUCACAGAUUCAUUCAUUCAGUUUUGUAUGGAAGUGAGAGGGCUUGCAGUUCGUUGUUCAGUUUUGGCUUGUUAAGACUGAGGUACUUUGUGGCAUCUGAGAAGCAUUGUCAAUUAGGCAUUUGGAUGUAGGCAUUUGGGAAUUUAGAGAUGUCUGGGGCUAGACCUGUAAAAUUUGGGUCAAUCUGGGUAGAUGGUGAUUGAUGCUAUCCAUUGGAAUAGGACUGCAGAGAAAGGGACAGAGAGGAAGAGAGAAAAUAGAAGGAAAUGGGCUGGAAUUGGCCCAGGGAACACCAACACCAUUGGUUGAGUCAGGAAGGCGGACCUGCAAAAAAGAGAGAGGAGGAUCAGCCUGAGAGUGGCAAUGGAUGCAGCAAUAUUCAGUUUCCAGAAUCAGCAGCUCCGGCAGCAGUGUCCUGUGCUGAUGGUGUUGGCAGGAGCUUCUUGACCCUGGGAGCAGAUUCAAUGUCACCUGGAGGAACAUUUCGUCCUCUACAUUUGCAUGGGAGAAUAACAUUUUUAAAGAAAAAUCAGGAGAGAUUGGCGUGCUGCCUUCUAGUGCAUAAUCCCAGGGUCAGUGAGAACUCCUAGCAUCUGACAAGUCAUAAAUCACACUCAUCUCUUCCUUACAUUCCCCUCUCUGUCUCUUGCUACUUUGGCUCAGGUCAAAUCAGUUCAAGAAACAUGUGUUGGACACUUAUAAUGUAUGAUGACUGCUCUUAUUUUCUGUGAAUAAAGAUGAUUCAGAUGUGAUCUCUACCCUUGACUAUCUUACAGUCACAGAGAAAGACAAAUAAUUUUAAUAUAAUUUGUUAAGAGCUGUGAUGGAGGUAAGUACAAGAUGCUGUAGGUAUACUUGUGCAUCUAAGAUAGAUUAGUUGUUUGUGAGUGUGUGUAUUGGUGUGUGUAUGUCCGUGUGUAUUGGAGGUAGGAAUAGGGAAAGUUUGUGGGAUUGUUUCUGGAGUAUAUUUUUCCUAGACAGAAUCUUAAAAAAUUCGUCUGGCUAUGGUUAUGAGCCAGAUGAAGAAGGGAUAGAAAUCAUAGCAAUAUCCUGUAACUUCACUUUCAUUAAAUUAACCACUGAUUGUAGUCAUCACUUUAAAUUUUGUGAAGAAUGCUUAGUUUUAUGCUCAAUAUCUUCUUUUGUCAAAACUGAGAAAGAUUGUUUGUCUAUCAUUUAAUUUUCCUUGAGAUUUAGAUACAUUAUUGAUACAGUUGUAAUCAAAUUCUAAAAAAAAAAAAAAAUUCUACUCUAAGAAGAGUGAAAAUUGUGGCAGAAAGAGUACUGAGUCUAAAGAUCCUGAGCUGAACCAAAUCCCGGAGCCUCUAAGAACUAACCAGGUAGCACCUUCCACCAGAUGGACGGCAAUUCAAAAUGUAGCAAUGUUUAAAUUACCUGUAUUCUCGAAAUUUAUUUUUAUAUCAGCUGUUUUGAUAAUACACUAUUUUUCUCUUUAGAAGCAAUUCUCUAUUAGUUUGAUGUGAUAGAUUAUAUAGAUUCCUUAAACCAAUAUUGGCUGUGAAUCUAUGAUAUUCCAAGGACCACUGUAGGCACUGGGGAUGAAACAAUUUGGCCCCUCCCCUCUGGAGUUCUUUAGUGUUAGGAACUGGGUUUUCAGUCUGUAUCCCCAGUCUUUAGCAUAUGCUUGGUACACAGUAUUUGCUCAAAAAAUAAGAUUGAUUGAAUAUUCAAAGUAUGAUGGGUGCCCAAGGAAAGUAAUGAUACCUUGAUUUAGUGGGCAUGUCUUUGAGUAGAGGGACUAUGCGGAGCAAAAAACAGUGGGGUGUAAAAAUGCAGUGUGUUCUAGUUAGUUGGUAUGGGAUAAGGCUGGUAAGGUUGCCUGCAGAUGGAUACGGGAGGGUGGAAUUUAUCUAUAUUCAGUGUGGGGCCGUAAGUAAUCAUCAAGCAGAGAUGUAAUUAUUCAUAAUUAUGUUUUAUUUAUCAGUUAUUGAAUGAGUUGAUUUCCCUUGAAAUAAAGGUAGGCACUUCUAUAACUGCUAGGCACUACAGUUUUUAGAUAUUGGCAGCAUCUAUCAAAAGUAAAGAUAUGCCUACCCUUAUAUAUUCCAUCUUGGAUAAAGCUCGUACCUAGCAAUUCGAAUGUUUGUAGUUUACCUUAACAGAUAUAUUGGUAACAGUGAAAAACAAUAUAUGUAUAGGAAUGUUCAUAACAUAAUUGUUUGUGGUAGCAUAAAUUGGCCCCAAUAUUAAUGUUCAUCAAUAAGAGAAUAGUUAACUAAGUUUUGGUUUAACUGUAGUUUAACUGUAGUUAAACUGUAGUGUGGAAUAUAAUGAAAUCAAUAGCAAGACAUAGGUAUAGCUAUAUAUAUUGGUCAAGAAGUGUCUCCAAGAUAAUAGCGAUUGUUGGGAAAAUUAAGUCAUUAAAUCAUAUGUUAACUACAAAAGUGUGCAUACUCAUGUACAUACACAU
This 2538-nucleotide long non-coding RNA is filed under the name Homo sapiens (human). RNAcentral's name for it is "HSALNT0361185". The record is from RNAcentral. Lineage: Eukaryota; Metazoa; Chordata; Mammalia; Primates; Hominidae.